RNAcentral lists this ribosomal RNA (373 nucleotides) under uncultured organism. RNAcentral's name for it is "partial 16S ribosomal RNA". It matches the Rfam family "Bacterial small subunit ribosomal RNA", at positions 527 to 896 of the family's 1533-position model. The record is from RNAcentral.
GUAGGUGGCAAGCGUUGUCCGGAAUUAUUGGGCGUAAAGCGUGCGCAGGCGGUUCUUUAAGUCUGAUGUGAAAGCCCACGGGCUCAACCGUGGAGGGUCAUUGGAAACUGGAGAACUUGAGUACAGAAGAGGAAAGCGGAAUUCCACGUGUAGCGGUGAAAUGCGUAGAGAUGUGGAGGAACACCAGUGGCGAAGGCGGCUUUCUGGUCUGUAACUGACGCUGAGGCGCGAAAGCGUGGGGAGCAAACAGGAUUAGAUACCCUGGUAGUCCACGCCGUAAACGAUGAGUGCUAAGUGUUAGGGGGUUUCCGCCCCUUAGUGCUGCAGCUAACGCAUUAAGCACUCCGCCUGGGGAGUACGGCCGCAAAGGCUG